AGUGAACGCUGGCGGUAGGCCUAACACAUGCAAGUCGAACGGCAGCACAGUAAGAGCUUGCUCUUACGGGUGGCGAGUGGCGGACGGGUGAGGAAUACAUCGGACUCUACUUUUUCGUGGGGGAUAACGUAGGGAAACUUACGCUAAUACCGCAUACGACCUACGGGUGAAAGCAGGGGAUCUUCGGACCUUGCGCGAUUGAAUGAGCCGAUGUCGGAUUAGCUAGUUGGCGGGGUAAAGGCCCACCAAGGCGACGAUCCGUAGCUGGUCUGAGAGGAUGAUCAGCCACACUGGAACUGAGACACGGUCCAGACUCCUACGGGAGGCAGCAGUGGGGAAUAUUGGACAAUGGGCGCAAGCCUGAUCCAGCCAUACCGCGUGGGUGAAGAAGGCCUGCGGGUUGUAAAGCCCUUUUGUUGGGAAAGAAAAGCAGCAGGUUAAUACCCCGCUGUUCUGACGGUACCCAAAGAAUAAGCACCGGCUAACUUCGU
Molecule: ribosomal RNA, 491 nt
Filed under: uncultured bacterium
Lineage: Bacteria
Description: partial 16S ribosomal RNA
Rfam family: Bacterial small subunit ribosomal RNA
Source: RNAcentral